UUGAACGCUGGCGGAAUGCUUUACACAUGCAAGUCGAGCGGCAGCGCGGGGCAACCUGGCGGCGAGCGGCGAACGGGUGAGUAACAUAUCGGAACGUACCCUAUCGUGGGGGAUAACACAUCGAAAGAUGUGCUAAUACCGCAUACGCCCUGAGGGGGAAAGUGGGGGAUCGCAAGACCUCACGUUAUUCGAGCGGCCGACGUCUGGUUAGCUAGUUGGUGAGGUAAUGGCUCACCAAGGCGACGAUCAGUAGCGGGUCUGAGAGGAUGAUCCGCCACACUGGAACUGAGACACGGUCCAGACUCCUACGGGAGGCAGCAGUGGGGAAUUUUGGACAAUGGGGGCAACCCUGAUCCAGCCAUUCCGCGUGAGUGAAGAAGGCCUUCGGGUUGUAAAGCUCUUUCAGCUGGAACGAAACGGUACGCUCUAACAUAGCGUGCUAAUGACGGUACCAGCAGAAGAAGCACCGGCUAACUACGU
This 480-nucleotide ribosomal RNA is filed under the name uncultured bacterium. RNAcentral describes it as "bacterial SSU rRNA". It matches the Rfam family "Bacterial small subunit ribosomal RNA", at positions 30 to 506 of the family's 1533-position model. The record is from RNAcentral.